Long non-coding RNA from Pipra filicauda (Wire-tailed manakin), 356 nucleotides. RefSeq lists it as uncharacterized. The transcript has 3 exons. Lineage: Eukaryota; Metazoa; Chordata; Aves; Passeriformes; Pipridae. The record is from RefSeq and is a predicted model, not a curated record.
AGGUGAGGUACAGGUGUGGCUCAGGUGAGCUCAGGUGAGCUCAGGUGUGUGUCUGGGUCCCGCAGGGUGAAGGCAGCCCUGGCCCAGGAGCAGGACCCAGCGCGGCGGCAGGUGCUGGACGGGCGGCAGCUGGCACUGAAGGUCAGCGCCAACUCCGUGUACGGCUUCACCGGGGCACAGGCGGGCAGGCUGCCCUGCCUCGAGAUAUCCCAGAGCGUGACGGGGUUCGGGCGGCAGAUGAUCGAGAGGACGAAGCAGCUCGUGGAGGAGAAAUACGGGGGGCAGGGGGGGCACCAGGUCAAGGUGGUCUAUGGGGACACGGACUCGGUGAUGUGCCGCCUGGGGGUCCCGUCGGU